RNAcentral lists this unclassified non-coding RNA (339 nucleotides) under soil metagenome. RNAcentral's name for it is "partial contains 5.8S ribosomal RNA, internal transcribed spacer 2, and large subunit ribosomal RNA". The stretch from base 1 to 120 matches the Rfam family "5.8S ribosomal RNA", at positions 35 to 154 of the family's 154-position model. The record is from RNAcentral.
GAUGAAGAACGCAGCGAAAUGCGAUACGUAGUGUGAAUUGCAGAAUUCAGUGAAUCAUCGAAUCUUUGAACGCACAUUGCACCUCUCGGUAUUCCGGGAGGUAUGCCUGUUCGAGCGUCAUUUGUACCCUCAAGCUCUGCUUGGUGUUGGGUGUUUGUUCCGCCUCUGUGUGUGAACUCGCCUCAAAACAAUUGGCAGCCGGCGUACUUGUUUCGGAGCGCAGCACAUUUUGCGAUCCAGAUCAACGUACAGCGGCAUCCAAGAAGCCUUAUUUAACGCUCUUGACCUCGGAUCAGGUAGGGAUACCCGCUGAGCUUAAGCAUAUCAAUAAUCGGAGGA